GAAACCCACUUAGCAACGUUUCAUUUGCGACACAUUGCGUAUACGCAGAGCUGACCAUUCCAGUCCAUUCCAGUCCAGACCAGACCAGGCCAGGACAGCACGUGUCAUCGCUGGCCAGAUAAGAUCGCUAUAGCCGGUGCCCACUCAAUUUGGCUGUUAUAGGAACUAGAAACACUUGAUAGAGGGCUCCAGCCAGUUCACCAUGCGCUCCUCCAUUCAAUAUGUGUCCUAGCAACGUGGCCGGACGAAUAAAUGACAAGGCUAUUUGUUUUGUUCUAAAGGCCCGGAUGGCCUGGAUGGCACAGGUGAGCUGGAGGCUCUUCAGGGCAGGAUUUCGUAGCGGAAAAUUUAUAUUUUUCCGUGAAGAGCGCUCUUCAGAUGAGUUAUGGGGCAAACAGGUUGAGCGUGUCUCUCCUUCAGGUUGAGUGUAGAAACAACGAAAAGACUGAUUUGAUUUUGUGUUUGAAUAGCUGCACUAAGAAAAUGUAAAAUUAAAAAACACGAUUGCUAAUAAUUCUUCUUUAAACUGGCAAAUAUAAGAGCUUACGAAUAUUUAUAAUAC
This is a non-coding RNA of Drosophila melanogaster (fruit fly), 562 nucleotides long. NCBI's taxonomy places the organism in Eukaryota, Metazoa, Arthropoda, Insecta, Diptera, Drosophilidae. The record is from Ensembl.